Molecule: ribosomal RNA, 449 nt
Filed under: uncultured bacterium
Lineage: Bacteria
Description: partial 16S ribosomal RNA
Rfam family: Bacterial small subunit ribosomal RNA
Source: RNAcentral
AACGAACGCUGGCGGCAUGCCUAACACAUGCAAGUCGAACGAGAUCUUCGGGUCUAGUGGCGCACGGGUGCGUAACGCGUGGGAAUCUGCCCUUUGGUUCGGAAUAACAGUUGGAAACGACUGCUAAUACCGGAUGAUGACGAAAGUCCAAAGAUUUAUCGCCAGAGGAUGAGCCCGCGUAGGAUUAGCUAGUUGGUGUGGUAAAGGCGCACCAAGGCGACGAUCCUUAGCUGGUCUGAGAGGAUGAUCAGCCACACUGGGACUGAGACACGGCCCAGACUCCUACGGGAGGCAGCGGUGGGGAAUAUUGGACAAUGGGCGAAAGCCUGAUCCAGCAAUGCCGCGUGAGUGAUGAAGGCCUUAGGGUUGUAGAGCUCUUUUACCCGGGAUGAUAAUGACAGUACCGGGAGAAUAAGCUCCGGCUAACUCCGUGCCAGCCGCCGCAGUAA